Molecule: long non-coding RNA, 3451 nt
Filed under: Mytilus galloprovincialis (Mediterranean mussel)
Lineage: Eukaryota; Metazoa; Mollusca; Bivalvia; Mytilida; Mytilidae
Source: RNAcentral
CACAUAAAUAAUAAAUACAUUAAACACUGAAACCAUUACAUUAAACUGAUAUCAUCAUCUUGAUUAUAUUUUGUUUAAGUAAUUUUUUUUAUACUGGAAUGAUAAUAAGAUGUUCAUUUUUACUUGUACCAAAAAAUCAAGUUUGGUGACAACUUUUUCAUUUAAUAUUUUUAGACCAUAUUAAAAACUCUAUCUUCUCAUAAUUUAUUUGAAAAAUCUUUCUCAUAGAUUUCUUUUCAUUCAUAAAAAUGAUCAAUCCAUUCAAUUUUUUGGCAAUGCACCAUGACACAUUGCUUGAAAAAUAACAGAGCCAACCAAACUAUAUAUUACAUUUUUGAUAAACGAAUGGAAAAUCACAAUUUUGGCAAUGUACGAAAGACAAUGUAUAAUAGGAAAUAUAUACCGCUGAUCAUCUUUAAACAUUUAAAAACAGUAAGGAUUGUGCAGAGUUCAAGAUGCGAACAAAUUCAUGUAGUAACCUAAAAGCUUGUGAUAUAGAUAUUAGUUUAUUGUCGAUGACUUAUGAUGACCUUUAGAGGAAUAGAUACUAUAUAUUGUUGAUGACUUAUAAUGACUGUAGAGGAAUAGAUACUAGUUAGGGGUUGCCCUGUAGAAGUUUUUUGCUAUGUUCAUUUUGUGCUGCUGUCUUAUUCAUAAUUCUCAUUUGCUUCAUUUUCAUCUGGCAGACUAGGAUUGAAAGUUAAAAAUGUAAACAUUACAUAAAGGGCAUAAAUAAAACAUCCAAAACAAAAGAUGAUAAAUCAUAAUUUAAAACCUUCACACACUAAAUAUCAUGUACACAAACUAAGGAUCAUUCAUUUCAAUCUACACACACUAAAUAUCAUGUACACAAACUAAGGAUCAUUCAUUUCAAUCUACACACACUAAAUAUCAUGUACACAAACUAAGGAUCAUUCAUUUCAAUCUACACACACUAAAUAUCAUGUACACAAACUAAGGAUCAUUCAUUUCAAUCUACACACACUAAAUAUCAUGUACACAAACUAAGGAUCAUUCAUUUCAAUCUACACACACUAAAUAUCAUGUACACAAACUAAGGAUCAUUCAUUUCAAUCUACACCCGUAAUUAUAUGUACACAAACUAAGGAUCAUUCAUUUCAAUCUACACACACUAAAUAUCAUGUACACAAACUAAGGAUCAUUCAUUUCAAUGAUAGUUCAUUAAAAUCUACACUCUAAGGAUCAUUUAUAAAAAAAAUCUACACUAAAUAUCAUUCAUUAAAAUCUACACACAUUUAAGGUAGAGGUGUAACAUUAUUAAUUCAGGCCUGGCCAGAAAGCACAUACUAGAAAGUAGUACAUAUUCAACACAAAAUAGUUCCUACUCAUGAGUGUAACUUUCAAAACAUGUAGGAUAUUUAGGUAUUUUUGGCAUCAAAUGAAAGCUGAAGAACUGGUGAUCAUUGUAAAACACUUUUUGACUUUUAAUUUUAAAUAUUAAAAAAACUGGACCAAAUUUAAAAAGAGGGUACAUUUUGUCUGUUUGUCAGAUCUGAAGUACCUGUUUUGGUACAUCCAAAGUUCCGGGAACCAGUUCUUUCUUAUAUGCCAUUAAAGGUAUGUUGAUUUUUUCAGUACAAGACACCAUAAAGUGUUGCUUUGACAUGCAAUGAUUGCUACUCUAUUUGAACUUAAAAUGAAAGAGGUGUGCCUACCUGAAAUGGAGGAAUUUAACAUAGAAAGCAAUGGGACCAUGAAUUAGUGGUUUACUUCCUAGAUUCAUUGUAUACCGCCAUCUUGGAUUGUCCUAUCUCAGUACACAAUUAGUCAUACCACAUCUUCCUAUACAUAGUUAUUUACCUAAAUCUGCAAAUUUGUAGACAGACACUUCAUUCAUAUGAAUAAAAUUUGCCGAUUCAUUGCAUUUUUCAAGAUAUUUAAACAAAUACCAAACAAUAGUGUUUAAAAAUAAUGUUUUUCAACUAAGCCAUUUAAGGGGAGUUAACUUUUUUAAGUACAAAAUUUAUACUGCACUGAUAGGGGAUUUUUUUUACUUUAUCUUAUAUCAAGAAAACAAGUUCUGUGACACCAUUUUUUCUUUUUCUUUUCUUGAAACAUAUUAUAAAACCCAUCUUCUCACAAUUUAUUUCAAAAUUGUAUCUCAUAGAUUUUUUUAAAUGCACAAAAAAUGUGUUUUUUCAUGAUCAUUCUAAGCAAAUUAAGGCAAUUUUCAACAACUCAUAGCUUGAAAAAUAGAAAAGUGACCCAUCUUUUUUAUUAUAUUUUUGAAAAGAGCAUAAUAAAAUAUCUUCAUUUUGUCAAAGUAUAAGAAAAUUCUAUCUUGGGAAACAUAUACUUAUGAUCUACCUUAACAUCAUUCAUUGAAAUCAACAUAAAAAGCAAUAUUUCAUUAAAUCAACACACACAGAGGAUUAUUCAUUAAAUAUUAACAAACAAAUUUAAAUAAUUAAUGGAUACACAAAGUAAUUUAAGUGGAACAUUUCAAAUAAACAGUCAAUUGACAGUUUAGGUGACAUAGGAAAAGCCUUGAUGAUCAUUAAAAAGUAUAUCUGUCUAUACUACAUUUCAAUUAAAUUACAAAAUAACUCGCAUUUACCAAUAAUCAUUAUUAAAGAUCCAUCACUCCUAUAAGAUGUCAAUUAUCAUCAUUAAAGAUCCAUCACUCCUAUAAGAUGUCAUUUAUCGUUAUUAAAGAUCCAUCACUCCUAUAAGAUGUCAAUUUAUGGUUUCAGUAUUAUUGGCACUAUCAUCAAACAUUUUGCUUUACUGGUCAGUUAGUUAACAGUUCCUAUCAGGAAAACCAAUUCAAUUGGUCAAAUAUUAUCAUAAGGGGGGUUAAUACUUCUUUAAGAAGUCAUCUGAUAAUUAGGGUAGAAAUGCAAAACAUGUAAACUCUGACCACUUGUCCCAUUCACAUGUAAACUCUGACCACUUGUCCCAUUCACAUGUAAACUCUGACCUCUUGUCCCAUUCACAUGUAAACUCUGACCACUUGUCCCAUGCACAUGUAAACUCUGACCACUUGUCCCAUUCACAUGUAAACUCUGACCACUUGUCCCAUUCACAUCUAAACUCUGACCACUUGUCCCAUUCACAUGGUUUUUUUUUUACGAAACAAUAACUUACAUGUGAUCCUUGAUACUGUUUUUUAGCCAGGGUAGCCAUGAUGGUUGGUUAGUGUGGACAAAGACACAACUUUUAUAUAAGGCCCUUUGAAUCAUUCCAGCCUACCUGUAGCAUCCUUGUCUACAGGUUUAAAAGGAGAACAAUGAGGUCAACAGGUUUAAGAAAGAAAGACAACAAAUGUUUAGUGAAGACAAAACGUCACACGAAUCUAAGAUUGACCUAAAAUAUAAUAAUUUGUAUCUUUUUGUCACACGAAAAUCUUUUUCAUCUUUACAUUGUUCAAAUAAUAAGUGGUGUUGACAUAAACUUUGUACAGGGAGAUAAAAUAGAUAAUUAUUUAAUC